GACGAACGCUGGCGGCGCGCCUAACACAUGCAAGUCGAACGAGCGAGAGAGAGCUUGCUUUCUUGAGCGAGUGGCGAACGGGUGAGUAACGCGUGAGGAACCUGCCUCAAAGAGGGGGACAACAGUUGGAAACGACUGCUAAUACCGCAUAAGCCCACGGUGCCGCAUGGCACAGAGGGAAAAGGAGCAAUCCGCUUUGAGAUGGCCUCGCGUCCGAUUAGCUAGUUGGUGAGGUAACGGCCCACCAAGGCGACGAUCGGUAGCCGGACUGAGAGGCUGAACGGCCACAUUGGGACUGAGACACGGCCCAGACUCCUACGGGAGGCAGCAGUGGGGAAUAUUGCACAAUGGGGGAAACCCUGAUGCAGCGACGCCGCGUGGAGGAAGAAGGUCUUCGGAUUGUAAACUCCUGUUGUUGGGGAAGAUAAUGACGGUACCCAACAAGGAAGUGACGGCUAACUACGUG
This 466-nucleotide ribosomal RNA is filed under the name uncultured bacterium. RNAcentral's name for it is "partial 16S ribosomal RNA". It matches the Rfam family "Bacterial small subunit ribosomal RNA", at positions 28 to 507 of the family's 1533-position model. The record is from RNAcentral.